UACGUAGGUGGCAAGCGUUGUCCGGAAUUACUGGGUGUAAAGGGCGUGUAGGCGGGGAUGCAAGUCAGAUGUGAAACCCCACAGCUUAACUGUGGGCUUGCAUCUGAAACUGUAUUUCUUGAGUGUUGGAGAGGGAAGUGGAAUUCCUAGUGUAGCGGUGAAAUGCGUAGAGAUUAGGAGGAACACCAGUGGCGAAGGCGACUUCCUGGCCAACAACUGACGCUGAGGCGCGAAAGCGUGGGGAGCAAACAGG
This 253-nucleotide ribosomal RNA is filed under the name uncultured bacterium. RNAcentral describes it as "partial 16S ribosomal RNA". It matches the Rfam family "Bacterial small subunit ribosomal RNA", at positions 524 to 776 of the family's 1533-position model. The record is from RNAcentral.